AGAGCCUAGGACAGAGGGCAGACGGAGCUCGUUUGGAUCCCUUAGGACACAAGUCUCCCCCAACCACAGGACCCCCACCGAAGUGGCCUUCUCUGGAAGUUCCCCUCCCAGGCCUCAGUGUUCGGGUAACUUGGUCUUCCCUCGCUCCUGUCCCAGCGCCCAUCACCCAGAAGGCAGACACCGAUGGCAAAACACGAAGCAGAGCCCACCAGCCCAGACAGGGUUACCUUUUUGCGUGGCCGAAGCUUGUCCCGCCAUUCCUUUAGGGUCUGGUUAUGACUUUCGUCCAGAGCCUUCAGCUUCUGGGUUUCAUGCUCUACCAGGAGGUGACACUUUUCAUUCUGCAACAUAUUCCAGGAAGUACAGCAUGAAGGCAUCCAUCCGCAAGCCAGAGAGAGAGACUUCACCAGAACCCAGCCAUGCUGGCAAAGCUGAUCUUGGAUUUCC
Balaenoptera acutorostrata (minke whale) is the source of this 447-nucleotide long non-coding RNA. RefSeq lists it as uncharacterized. The record is from RefSeq and is a predicted model, not a curated record. The transcript is spliced from 3 exons. Lineage: Eukaryota; Metazoa; Chordata; Mammalia; Artiodactyla; Balaenopteridae.